AGCGGUAACAGCUCAAAUUUGAAAUCUGGCUCCUCGGGGCCCGAAUUGUAAUUUGUAGAAGAUGCUUUGGGUCUGGGCCUGGCCUAAGUUCCUUGGAACAGGACGUCGUAGAGGGUGAGAAUCCCGUAUGCGGCUGGCGCCCGUGCCCGUGUAAAGCUCUUUCAACGAGUCGAGUUGUUUGGGAAUGCAGCUCUAAAUGGGUGGUAAAUUUCAUCUAAAGCUAAAUAUUGGCCAGAGACCGAUAGCGCACAAGUAGAGUGAUCGAAAGAUGAAAAGCACUUUGGAAAGAGAGUUAAACAGUACGUGAAAUUGUUGAAAGGGAAGCGCUGGCAACCAGACUUGGGCGCUGUUGAUCCGCUAGGGUUCUCUCUAGGGCACUCGGCAGUGCGCAGGCCAGCAUCGGUUUGGGGGGUUGGAGAAUGGCUGGUGGAAUGUGGCUGUCUUUGGGCAGUGUUAUAGCCACCGGUGGCAUGCAGCCUCCCCGGACCGAGGACCGCGCUUCGGCUAGGAUGCUGGCGUAAUGGUUGUCAGCGACCCGUCUUGAAACACGGACCAAGGAGUCUAACAUCUAUGCGAGUGUUUGGGUGUUAAACCCAUACGCGGAAUGAAAGUGAACGUAGGUGAGAACCCGCAAGGGUGCAUCAUCGACCGAUCCUGAUGUCUUCGGAUGGAUUUGAGUAAGAGCAUAGCUGUUGGGACCCGAAAGAUGGUGAACUAUGCCUGAAUAGGGUGAAGCCAGAGGAAACUCUGGUGGAGGCUCGCAGCGGUUCUGACGUGCAAAUCGAUCGUCAAAUUUGGGUAUAGGGGCGAAAGACU
Molecule: ribosomal RNA, 816 nt
Filed under: Podosphaera xanthii
Lineage: Eukaryota; Fungi; Ascomycota; Leotiomycetes; Helotiales; Erysiphaceae
Description: partial large subunit ribosomal RNA
Rfam family: Eukaryotic large subunit ribosomal RNA
Source: RNAcentral